CGCGGGGUGGAGCAGUUCGGUAGCUCGUCGGGCUCAUAACCCGGAGGUCGUGGGUUCAAAUCCUACCCCCGCAACCA
This 77-nucleotide transfer RNA is filed under the name Bacillota bacterium. RNAcentral's name for it is "Firmicutes bacterium (anaerobic digester metagenome) tRNA-Met". It matches the Rfam family "tRNA". From Rfam's summary of the family: Transfer RNA (tRNA) molecules are approximately 80 nucleotides in length. Their secondary structure includes four short double-helical elements and three loops (D, anti-codon, and T loops). The record is from RNAcentral. Lineage: Bacteria; Bacillati; Bacillota.